AUACGUAGGGGGCGAGCGUUGUCCGGAAUGAUUGGGCGUAAAGGGCGCGUAGGCGGCCCGGUAAGUCUGGAGUGAAAGUCCUGUUUUUAAGAUGGGAAUUGCUUUGGAUACUGUCGGGCUUGAGUGCAGGAGAGGUAAGUGGAAUUCCCAGUAUAGCGGUGAAAUGCGUAGAGAUUGGGAGGAACACCAGUGGCGAAGGCGACUUACUGGACUGUAACUGACGCUGAGGCGCGAAAGUGUGGGGAGCAAACAGGAUUAGAUACCCUGGUAGUCCACACUGUAAACGAUGAAUGCUAGGUGUAGGGGGUAUCGACCCCUUCUGUGCCGCAGUCAACACAAUAAGCAUUCCGCCUGGGGAGUACGGCCGCAAGGUUGAAACUCAAAUGAAUUGACGGGG
This 397-nucleotide ribosomal RNA is filed under the name uncultured bacterium. RNAcentral's name for it is "partial 16S ribosomal RNA". It matches the Rfam family "Bacterial small subunit ribosomal RNA", at positions 523 to 918 of the family's 1533-position model. The record is from RNAcentral.